GCCUCAUUGGCUCAGCCCGAUAGCGCGAGUGACUUGAAUCACUAGGUCGCGUGUUCAAAUCACUCACGAGGCU
Molecule: transfer RNA, 73 nt
Filed under: Methanosarcina barkeri str. Wiesmoor
Lineage: Archaea; Methanobacteriati; Methanobacteriota; Methanomicrobia; Methanosarcinales; Methanosarcinaceae
Description: tRNA-Und (NNN) (tRNA-Und-NNN-1-1)
Rfam family: tRNA
About the family: Transfer RNA (tRNA) molecules are approximately 80 nucleotides in length. Their secondary structure includes four short double-helical elements and three loops (D, anti-codon, and T loops). Further hydrogen bonds mediate the characteristic L-shaped molecular structure. tRNAs have two regions of fundamental functional importance: the anti-codon, which is responsible for specific mRNA codon recognition, and the 3' end, to which the tRNAs corresponding amino acid is attached (by aminoacyl-tRNA synthetases). tRNAs cope with the degeneracy of the genetic code in two manners: having more than one tRNA (with a specific anti-codon) for a particular amino acid; and 'wobble' base-pairing, i.e. permitting non-standard base-pairing at the 3rd anti-codon position.
Source: RNAcentral